This 405-nucleotide ribosomal RNA is filed under the name uncultured bacterium. RNAcentral's name for it is "partial 16S ribosomal RNA". It matches the Rfam family "Bacterial small subunit ribosomal RNA", at positions 28 to 525 of the family's 1533-position model. The record is from RNAcentral.
GACGAACGCUGGCGGCAGGCCUAACACAUGCAAGUCGAACGAGUGGCGGACGGGUGAGUAAUGUCUGGGAAACUGCCUGAUGGAGGGGGAUAACUACUGGAAACGGUAGCUAAUACCGCAUACCAUCAGAUGUGCCCAGAUGGGAUUAGCUUGUUGGUGGGGUAACGGCCCACCAAGGCGACGAUCCCUAGCUGGUCUGAGAGGAUGACCGGCCACACGGGAGCUGAGACACGGGCCAGACCCCGACGGGGGGCAGCAGUGGGGAAUAUUGAACAAUGGGCGCAAGCCUGAUGCAGCCAGGCCGCGUGUAUGAAGAAGGCCUUCGGGUUGUAAAGUACUUUCAGCGGGGAGGCGUUACCCGCAGAAGAAGCACCGGCUAACUCCGUGCCAGCAGCCGCGGUAUUU